Long non-coding RNA from Calidris pugnax (ruff), 846 nucleotides. RefSeq lists it as uncharacterized. Lineage: Eukaryota; Metazoa; Chordata; Aves; Charadriiformes; Scolopacidae. The record is from RefSeq and is a predicted model, not a curated record. The transcript is spliced from 7 exons.
CUGUUGUAUUGCAGCAAAGAAUAUAAAAUCAGAAUAAAGUUGUUCAGAAAAUAAACAUCUUGAGUCACAUCCACUCAAAAAACACACUCAGAGGGAAGUUAUUUAGGAAGCUGCAAGACUCUUCUUACCCCCCUGGGAUGGUUUGGCUUCAAACUGUGCCUUCCAAAGAGCAACUUGCAACUGGCGCGGCCUACUGCUUGUAUUGUAAUUUAUGAACCCAGUGGCUUGAAAGGUUCCUCCUGCUGCAAGGAUCAUGGUCAAAUAUCACCUGGCCCCAAACCUGAGUUUACCUGGGGAUCUACUCCAUGGAUUUGUUGAGAAGCUAAAAUCGUGAUGAUGGUACACAGUUAUCAUCCUGCCCCAUGUUCCUGCAAGUCCUCACAGAAGCAGUGUGGAUCCGAUGUUCCUGGUCCCUCGAUGAAGCAAUUCAGCUCUUCAUGCAACGCCCAGGACGUGUUAUGCUCCAUCUCAGCAAGAACGUAGAGCCAGAAUUCACUAUCAACUUGAAACACAGAAGAGCAUCCAAGGUCCUGAUCCAAGGUCGUUUCUGUUCUGCUCAACACUUUCACGUGGAGGCACCUGCUUGCUUCCUUGUCUGUAAUGAAAUCUGAACACAGGCUUAAAGAUCCGAAAGUCCAAGUGUUGCGACGAACGGAGAUGAACUGGUGGUUUGCCAUCCUGGGCUCAGCCGCUCAUCUCUCCUCAUCCUCUUCAGCAAAAAACGAAAUCUUGGAUUGUGGACCACAACUCAUUAGUCAUUCCUUGUGGCUCAAUAUCACCUUCAGCAUGAUCCAAACCACAAAUGUUCACAAAAAGAGAAAUUUGUUCUUCAUUAAUACCUGAACA